AGGGGUUAGCGUUGUUCGGAAUUACUGGGCGUAAAGCGCGCGUAGGCGGACUAUUAAGUCAGGGGUGAAAUACCCGGGGCUCAACCCCGGAACUGCCUUUGAUACUGGUAGUCUUGAGUUCGAGAGAGGUGAGUGGAAUUCCGAGUGUAGAGGUGAAAAUUCGUAGAUAUUCGGAGGAACACCAGUGGCGAAGGCGGCUCACUGGCUCGAUACUGACGCUGAGGUGCGAAAGUGUGGGGAGCAAACAGGAUUAGAUACCCUGGUAG
Molecule: ribosomal RNA, 266 nt
Filed under: uncultured bacterium
Lineage: Bacteria
Description: partial 16S ribosomal RNA
Rfam family: Bacterial small subunit ribosomal RNA
Source: RNAcentral